AAGACCUUGCGCUUUUGGAGCGGCCGAUGUCUGAUUAGCUUGUUGGUAAGGUAAAAGCUUACCAAGGCUUCGAUCAGUAGCUGGUCUGAGAGGACGGCCAGCCACACUGGGACUGAGACACGGCCCAGACUCCUACGGGAGGCAGCAGUGGGGAAUUUUGGACAAUGGGGGCAACCCUGAUCCAGUCAUGCCGCGUGAGUGAAGAAGGCCUUCGGGUUGUAAAGCUCUUUCAGCCGGAACGAAACGGUUACGGUUAAUACCCGUGACUACUGACGGUACCGGAAGAAGAAGCACCGGCUAACUACGUGCCAGCAGCCGCGGUAAUACGUAGGGUGCAAGCGUUAAUCGGAAUUACUGGGCGUAAAGCGUGCGCAGGUGGUUUUGUAAGUCAGAUGUGAAAUCCCCGGGCUUAACCUGGGAACU
RNAcentral lists this ribosomal RNA (423 nucleotides) under uncultured bacterium. RNAcentral describes it as "bacterial SSU rRNA". It matches the Rfam family "Bacterial small subunit ribosomal RNA", at positions 207 to 622 of the family's 1533-position model. The record is from RNAcentral.